Molecule: ribosomal RNA, 433 nt
Filed under: uncultured bacterium
Lineage: Bacteria
Description: partial 16S ribosomal RNA
Rfam family: Bacterial small subunit ribosomal RNA
Source: RNAcentral
AACGAACGCUGGCGGCAUGCCUAACACAUGCAAGUCGAACGAGACCGCCGGGUCUAGUGGCGCACGGCGGCGUGAGGAGGGGGAACCUGCCCGUAGGUUCCGAAUAACUCCCCGAGAGGGAUGCUAAGACCAGAUAAUGUCUUAGGACCAAAGAUUUUUCGCCUUUGGAUGGGCCCGCGUUGGAUUAGCUGGUUGGUAGGGUAAUAGCCUACCAAGGCGAGGAUCCAUAGCUGGUCGGAGAGGAUGCUCAGCCACACUGGGACUGAGACACGGCCCAGACCCGUACGGGAGGCAGCAGUGGGGAAUAUUGGAAAAUGGGCGCAAGCCUAACCCAGCCAUGCCGCGGGAGACAUGAAGGCCGUUGGGAUGUGAAGUCCUUUUACCCGGGAUGAUAAUGACAGUACCGGGUAAAUAAGCUCCGGCUAACUACGUG